AUUGAACGUUGGCGGCACGCCUAAAUACAUGCAAGUCGANCGAGAAAGCACUUCGGUGUGAGUACAGUGGCGGACGGGUGAGUAACGCGUAGGAAUCUACCUAGUAGUGGGGGACAACUCGAGGAAACUCGAGCUAAUNCCGCAUACGCUCUUAGGAGGAAAGUGGGGGAUCUUCGGACCUCACGCUAUUAGAGGAGCCUGCGUUAGAUUAGCUUGUUGGUGAGGUAAAGGCUCACCAAGGCGACGAUCUAUAGCUGGUCUGAGAGGACGAUCANCCACNCUGGAACUGAGACACGGUCCAGACUCCUACGGGAGGCAGCAGUAGGGAAUCUUGGGCAAUGGGCGAAAGCCUGACCCAGNGAUGCCGCGUGUGCGAAGAAGGCNUUAGGGUUGUAAAGCACUUUCAGUCGUGAAGAAAAGCUACGAUUUAAUAUGUCGUGGUCUUGACGUUAGCGACAGAAGAAGUACCGGCUAACUCCGUGCCAGCAGCCGCGGUAAUACGGAGGGUACGAACGUUAAUCGGAAUUNCUGGGCGUAAAGCGCGCGUAGGCGGUUUGAUAAGUGGGAUGUGAAAGCCCCGGGCUCAACCUGGGAACUGCAUUCCAAACUGUCAAACUAGAGUGUGGUAGAGGGCGGUAGAAUUUCCUG
RNAcentral lists this ribosomal RNA (648 nucleotides) under bacterium IMCC8862. RNAcentral's name for it is "bacterial SSU rRNA". It matches the Rfam family "Bacterial small subunit ribosomal RNA", at positions 28 to 673 of the family's 1533-position model. The record is from RNAcentral.